UGCUCCCCAGUACAAGAACCUCACCAUCACACAGUUGUCAUAUCUGUAUUAAAGCUCACAUGACUCUUGCACCUGGAGUAAACCAUUCUAACCUCUCAAAGAUCAGAGAUUGUAAUAGGAGGUCCUUUCGGUGGAGUAACGUCACAUCUGCCUUAUAAAGAGCAGCCUCAGACAUUCAGUAUGUCUGCUGCGGCUCAUUUCAUCUGAAUCAGUACAAUGGGUCCAAUACUCAUCACAUUUACAGUCUCGUCUUUCUGGCUUCAAGGUCUCUGCCAGGCUGUGACCCAGUACCCUGCAACCAGCUGGAGUUACGUGUCCAAAUCCGCAGAGAUGAACUGCAGCCACAACAAAGACGCUGGUCAUAACCAGAUGUACUGGUUCAGGCAGCGCCAUGGGGAGACCAUGACCCUCAUUGUCUUCACAGUUUAUGGAAUGGACCCAGACUACGGCAGGAGCCCUGAAGACAAAUAUUCAGCUGUCAGAGCGAACUUCUUACUGUGAAAAACGUGCAGCCUGAGGACAGCGCUGUGUAUUUCUGUGCAGUC
Hippoglossus stenolepis (Pacific halibut) is the source of this 545-nucleotide non-coding RNA. The record is from the annotation of a RefSeq genome assembly. NCBI's taxonomy places the organism in Eukaryota, Metazoa, Chordata, Actinopteri, Pleuronectiformes, Pleuronectidae.